GCUGGGUGUGGUGGCGCACGCCUGUAAUCCCAGCUACUCUGGAGGCUGAGGCAGGAGAAUUACUUGAACCCAGGAGGUGGAGGUUGCAGUGAGCCGAGAUCGCGCCACUGCACUCCAGCCUGGGCGACAGAGCGAGACUCUGUCUCAA
Molecule: small RNA, 148 nt
Filed under: Pongo abelii (Sumatran orangutan)
Lineage: Eukaryota; Metazoa; Chordata; Mammalia; Primates; Hominidae
Description: Metazoan signal recognition particle RNA (ENSPPYG00000034701.1)
Source: Rfam by way of RNAcentral